GAUCAUGGCUCAGAUUGAACGCUGGCGGCAGGCCUAACACAUGCAAGUCGAACGGUAGCACAGAGAGCUUGCUCUCGGGUGACGAGUGGCGGACGGGUGAGUAAUGUCUGGGAAACUGCCUGAUGGAGGGGGGAUAACUACUGGAAACGGUAGCUAAUACCGCAUAAUGUCGCAAGACCAAAGAGGGGGGACCUUCGGGCCGUCUUGCCAUCAGAUGUGCCCAGAUGGGAUUAG
Molecule: ribosomal RNA, 234 nt
Filed under: uncultured bacterium
Lineage: Bacteria
Description: partial 16S ribosomal RNA
Rfam family: Bacterial small subunit ribosomal RNA
Source: RNAcentral